AGUUUGAUCCUGGCUCAGGAUGAACGCUAGCGGCAGGCUUAACACAUGCAAGUCGAGGGGCAUCGGGAGGGAAGCUUGCUUUCCUUGCCGGCGACCGGCGCACGGGUGAGUAACACGUAUGCAACCUGCCCUCUUCAGGGGGACAACCUUCCGAAAGGGAGGCUAAUCCCGCGUAUAUCGGUUUCGGGCAUCCAAGAUCGAGGAAAGAUUCAUCGGAAGAGGAUGGGCAUGCGGCGCAUUACCUAGACGGCGGGGUAACGGCCCACCGUGGCGACGAUGCGUAGGGGUUCUGAGAGGAAGGUCCCCCACACUGGUACUGAAACACAGACCAGACUCCUACGGGAGGCAGCAGUGAGGAAUAUUGGUCAAUGGGAGAGAUCCUGAACCAGCCAAGCCGCGUGAGGGAAGACGGCCCUAUGGGUUGUAAACCUCUUUUGUCGGAGAACAAAACCCGGGACGAGUCCCGGACUGCGUGUAUCCGAAGAAAAAGCAUCGGCUAACUCCGUGCCAGCAGCCGCGGUAAUACGGAGGAUGCGAGCGUUAUCCGGAUUUAUUGGGUUUAAAGGGUGCGUAGGCGGUCCGUUAAGUCAGCGGUAAAAUUGCGGGGCUCAACCCCGUCGAGCCGUUGAAACUGGCAGACUUGAGUUGGCGAGAAGUACGCGGAAUGCGCGGUGUAGCGGUGAAAUGCAUAGAUAUCGCGCAGAACUCCGAUUCGCGAAGGCAGCGUAACGGCGCCAGACUGACGCUGAGGCACGAAAGCGUGGGGAUCAAACAGGAAUAAAUACCCCUGGUAGUCCCCCCCAUUAACCCAUGAAUGCUGGUUGGCCCGGUCGAAGAAAACUGGGCGGCCAAACCAAACUAUAAGCAUUCCCCCUUGGGAGUCCCCCGGCGACGGUGAAACUCAAAGGAAUUGACGGGGGCCCGCACAAGCGGAGGAACAUGUGGUUUAUUUCGGUGAUACGCGAGGAACCUUACCCGGGCUCAAACGGGAGUGGAAUGGACCAGAGACGGUUCAGCCUACGGGCCGCUUCCGAGGUGCUGCAUGGUUGUCGUCAGCUCGUGCCGUGAGGUGUCGGCUUAAGUGCCAUAACGAGCGCAACCCCCGCCGGCAGUUGCUAACGGGCAAUGCCGAGGACUCUGCCGGGACUGCCGCCGCAAGGCGUGAGGAAGGCGGGGAUGACGUCAAAUCAGCACGGCCCUUACGUCCGGGGCGACACACGUGUUACAAUGGGCGGUACAGCGGGAAGCCAGGCGGCGACGCCGAGCGGAACCCGAAAGCCGUUCUCAGUUCGGAUCGGAGUCUGCAACCCGACUCCGUGAAGCUGGAUUCGCUAGUAAUCGCGCAUCAGCCAUGGCGCGGUGAAUACGUUCCCGGGCCUU
RNAcentral lists this ribosomal RNA (1380 nucleotides) under uncultured bacterium. Its description in RNAcentral is "16S ribosomal RNA". It matches the Rfam family "Bacterial small subunit ribosomal RNA", at positions 10 to 1382 of the family's 1533-position model. The record is from RNAcentral.